GAUGAACGCUGGCGGCGUGCCUAAUACAUGCAAGUCGAGCGAACAGACGAGGAGCUUGCUCCUUUGACGUUAGCGGCGGACGGGUGAGUAACACGUGGGUAACCUACCUAUAAGACUGGGAUAACUUCGGGAAACCGGAGCUAAUACCGGAUAAUAUUUCGAACCGCAUGGUUCGAUAGUGAAAGAUGGCUUUGCUAUCACUUAUAGAUGGACCUGCGCCGUAUUAGCUAGUUGGUAAGGUAACGGCUUACCAAGGCAACGAUACGUAGCCGACCUGAGAGGGUGAUCGGCCACACUGGAACUGAGGCACGGUCCAGACUCCUACGGGAGGCAGCAGUAGGGAAUCUUCCGCAAUGGGCGAAAGCCUGACGGAGCAACGCCGCGUGAGUGAUGAAGGUCUUCGGAUCGUAAAACUCUGUUAUUAGGGAAGAACAAACGUGUAAGUAACUGUGCACGUCUUGACGGUACCUAAUCAGAAAGCCACGGCUAACUACGUGCCAGCAGCCGCGGUAAUACGUAGGUGGCAAGCGUUAUCCGGAAUUAUUGGGCGUAAAGCGCGCGUAGGCGGUUUUUUAAGUCUGAUGUGAAAGCCCACGGCUCAACCGUGGAGGGUCAUUGGAAACUGGAAAACUUGAGUGCAGAAGAGGAAAGUGGAAUUCCAUGUGUAGCGGUGAAAUGCGCAGAGAUAUGGAGGAACACCAGUGGCGAAGGCGACUUUCUGGUCUGUAACUGACGCUGAUGUGCGAAAGCGUGGGGAUCAAACAGGAUUAGAUACCCUGGUAGUCCACGCCGUAAACGAUGAGUGCUAAGUGUUAGGGGGUUUCCGCCCCUUAGUGCUGCAGCUAACGCAUUAAGCACUCCGCCUGGGGAGUACGACCGCAAGGUUGAAACUCAAAGGAAUUGACGGGGACCCGCACAAGCGGUGGAGCAUGUGGUUUAAUUCGAAGCAACGCGAAGAACCUUACCAAAUCUUGACAUCCUUUGACCCUUCUAGAGAUAGAAGUUUCCCCUUCGGGGGACAAAGUGACAGGUGGUGCAUGGUUGUCGUCAGCUCGUGUCGUGAGAUGUUGGGUUAAGUCCCGCAACGAGCGCAACCCUUAAGCUUAGUUGCCAUCAUUAAGUUGGGCACUCUAAGUUGACUGCCGGUGACAAACCGGAGGAAGGUGGGGAUGACGUCAAAUCAUCAUGCCCCUUAUGAUUUGGGCUACACACGUGCUACAAUGGACAAUACAAAGGGCAGCGAAACCGCGAGGUCAAGCAAAUCCCAUAAAGUUGUUCUCAGUUCGGAUUGUAGUCUGCAACUCGGCUACAUGAAGCUGGAAUCGCUAGUAAUCGUAGAUCAGCAUGCUACGGUGAAUAAGUUCCCGGGUCU
Molecule: ribosomal RNA, 1372 nt
Filed under: uncultured bacterium
Lineage: Bacteria
Description: bacterial SSU rRNA
Rfam family: Bacterial small subunit ribosomal RNA
Source: RNAcentral